GGGGGUGAAAGGUAUCGACUCAGACCAAGGAGUGCUAGUGGCAUGUCGAGGUGGCAGGGUGGCCUCGUAAAACACCUUGCAAAAACACAAAUGCUAAAAACACAAAAGCAACAUUGACAUUUAAUAACCUGAUGGAUUCUAUGGUGGUGGUUAAUCCUACCCCUAUGUUUCCUAUGGUUGGGAUGUCAAUGACACCAGCGGGAUUCUAAUAAAAUAGAAUCCUCCGUCUGCCGGUUUUUCCUGUGGGGCCGGAUUGGACGUUAUUAGCAGGAUAGUUUCGGUGAGUUUGUCUUUGUAACUGAGGCGAAAUUUUAAAAGACUACGCUUGCGCUAAUUCCGUUUACCGAAGCAGCACAAGUAAAACUAAAAGGUAAACUAAACAUGUAGAAGCUUUUAGUCUAAGGCUUGAGGACGGCAGUUCGAAUCUGCCCACCUCCAC
This 439-nucleotide transfer-messenger RNA is filed under the name marine eukaryotic metagenome. It matches the Rfam family "transfer-messenger RNA". Rfam says of the family: Bacterial tmRNA, also known as 10Sa RNA or SsrA, is named for its dual tRNA and mRNA-like properties. Its role is to liberate the mRNA from a stalled ribosome. The record is from RNAcentral.